This 429-nucleotide ribosomal RNA is filed under the name uncultured bacterium. RNAcentral's name for it is "bacterial SSU rRNA". It matches the Rfam family "Bacterial small subunit ribosomal RNA", at positions 355 to 775 of the family's 1533-position model. The record is from RNAcentral.
UAGGGAAUAUUGCGCAAUGGGGGAAACCCUGACGCAGCAACGCCGCGUGAGUGAGGAAGGUCUUCGGAUUGUAAAACUCUUUUAUUUGGGAAAAAUGUCCAUAUGGCUAAUAUCCAUGUGGAGCGAUGGUACCAAAGGAAUAAGCACCGGCUAACUUCGUGCCAGCAGCCGCGGUAAUACGAAGGGUGCAAGCGUUGUUCGGAAUUAUUGGGCGUAAAGCGCGCGCAGGCGGAUUGAUAAGUCAGGUGUGAAAUCUCGAAGCUCAACUUCGAAACUGCGCCUGAAACUAUUAGUCUAGAAUGUCGGAGGGGGCAGGGGAAUUUCACGUGUAGGGGUAAAAUCCGUAGAGAUGUGAAGGAACACCGGGGGCGAAGGCGCCUGCCUGGACGACUAUUGACGCUGAGGCGCGAAAGCGUGGGGAGCAAACAG